Molecule: ribosomal RNA, 253 nt
Filed under: uncultured bacterium
Lineage: Bacteria
Description: partial 16S ribosomal RNA
Rfam family: Bacterial small subunit ribosomal RNA
Source: RNAcentral
UACGUAGGGCGCAAGCGUUAUCCGGAAUUAUUGGGCGUAAAGGGCGCGUAGGCGGCCAUGCGUGUCUCCCGUGAAAUCCCUCGGCUCAACCGAGGACGUGCGGAAGAAACUGCAAGGCUCGAGUCCGGAAGAGGGGGGCGGAAUUCCCAGUGUAGCGGUGAAAUGCGUAGAUAUUGGGAGGAACACCAGUGGCGAAGGCGGUCCCCUGGGCCGGAACUGACGCUGAGGCGCGAAAGCGUGGGUAGCAAACGGG